UGGGGAAUAUUGGACAAUGGGCGAAAGCCUGAUCCAGCCAUGCCGCGUGUGUGAAGAAGGUCUUCGGAUUGUAAAGCACUCUAAGUUGGGAGGAAGGGCAGUAAGCGAAUACCUUGCUGUUUUGACGCUACCGACAGAAUAAGCACCGGCUAACUCUGUGCCAGCAGCCGCGGUAAUACAGAGGGUGCAAGCGUUAAUCGGAAUUACUGGGCGUAAAGCGCGCGUAGGUGGUUCGUUAAGUUGAAUGUGAAAGCCCCGGGCUCAACCAGGGAACUGCAUCCAAAGCUGGCGGGCUAGAGUAGGGCAGAGGGUGGAGGAAUUUCCUGUGUAGCGGUGAAGUGCGUAGAUAUAGGAAGGAACACCAGUGGCGAAGGCGACCACCUGGGCUCAUACUGACACUAAGGUGCGAAAGCGUGGGGAGCAAACAGG
This 429-nucleotide ribosomal RNA is filed under the name Pseudomonadota bacterium. RNAcentral's name for it is "Proteobacteria bacterium partial 16S ribosomal RNA". It matches the Rfam family "Bacterial small subunit ribosomal RNA", at positions 355 to 776 of the family's 1533-position model. The record is from RNAcentral. Lineage: Bacteria; Pseudomonadati; Pseudomonadota.